Molecule: long non-coding RNA, 221 nt
Filed under: Brassica napus (rape)
Lineage: Eukaryota; Viridiplantae; Streptophyta; Magnoliopsida; Brassicales; Brassicaceae
Description: long non-coding RNA (BNAP_LNC018017)
Source: RNAcentral
GCGGGGAUCAUGUUGUCGUUCUAUUUAUCUGUCUGUUUAGUUUGUUUGCUGGUUCUUCAUGCUAGUUGUCUGCAUAAUAUUUUUCUCGAACAAUUUGUUGGUUUAUCGGAUUUUUUGUUGGGUUUAGUGAUGACGAAGUUUCUUUACAGUGGUUUCUUGUUUAUCAUGCAAGCUAUUCCUCAUGUGCGGUAUGCUCCCAAAAUUGGUGUUAUAGAGUAAGU